UUGCUUCAGCAGCACAUAUACUAACAUUGGAAUGAUACCAAGAACAUUAGUGUGGCCCAUCAUGCAAGGAUGAAUGCAAAAAUGAAGCAUAGUUUACAAGUUAU
RNAcentral lists this small nuclear RNA (104 nucleotides) under Jaculus jaculus (lesser Egyptian jerboa). The record is from RNAcentral. Lineage: Eukaryota; Metazoa; Chordata; Mammalia; Rodentia; Dipodidae.